RNAcentral lists this long non-coding RNA (463 nucleotides) under Anser brachyrhynchus (Pink-footed goose). Its description in RNAcentral is "lncRNA (ENSABRG00000000544.1)". The record is from RNAcentral. Lineage: Eukaryota; Metazoa; Chordata; Aves; Anseriformes; Anatidae.
AAAAAAAAUCUAUAGACAUUAGUUUUGUGUCACAAAACUUUUUAUUGCUUGAGUCAGAAAUCUAAAAACAAUUGCAAAGAAAGAUACUGAUUUUUUUACCUGACAUUUGGGGGAAAUUGAGAAAUACUCAGUGUUCACAAAGUUGCUUAUAAAUUGUCUUGUACUUGCUCACAGGUCAGUGUGGGCCAUCUGACAGCGUCUUAAGCCAGUCUCAGAGCUGAACAGUCCUCAAAGUUGUCUUUGCCAAGAGGUCUGCCAGUCAUCUGGUGAGGUGGUGGAAUUUGCUGCAAGACCUUGAUGUCUGCUGGCUGGCAUGAGAAGGACCUACACAUCUGGGAUAAUGAGGUCCAGGUUCAAUUGCUCUCCACUUCUUUCAAGGUAUAGAGUUUGACAUCAAUUUGCUGAUUUCAAAAUGUGAAAUUUCCCUCAGGAAGGACUUUGAUUUGGUUUAAAUAUGUUUUGG